Molecule: small nuclear RNA, 108 nt
Organism: Ailuropoda melanoleuca (giant panda)
Lineage: Eukaryota; Metazoa; Chordata; Mammalia; Carnivora; Ursidae
Source: Ensembl
GUGCUCGCUUCAGCAGCACACAUACUAAAAAUUGGAAUGAUACAGAGAGGAUCAGCAUGGCCCCUGCACAAGGAUGACACGCAAAUUCAUGAAGCAUUCCAAAAAAAC